Molecule: ribosomal RNA, 250 nt
Filed under: uncultured bacterium
Lineage: Bacteria
Description: partial 16S ribosomal RNA
Rfam family: Bacterial small subunit ribosomal RNA
Source: RNAcentral
CACGUAGGAUCCAAGCGUUACUCGGAAUUACUGGGCGUAAAGCGUGCGUAGGUGGUUCGUUAAGUCUGUCGUGAAAGCCCCGGGCUCAACCUGGGAAUGGCGAUGGAUACUGGCGGGCUAGAGUGCGGUAGAGGAGAGUGGAAUUCCCGGUGUAGCAGUGAAAUGCGUAGAGAUCGGGAGGAACAUCAGUUGCGAAGGCGGCUCUCUGGACCAGCACUGACACUGAGGCACGAAAGCGUGGGGAGCAAAC